CACUACAGGCUGCUGACGUAGACCCUGCUGUCCUGGAGCUCCUCCUCACUCGGUCGACCCCGCGCGCGCACACAGCCCGCGUCCUCUUCGCCCCCGGCUCGGUCCUGCCCCGCGUCCCUGCAGUUCACAAAGGGUAAGAGGGCGCCAUUGGGGCUCUGUGGGGCGCCCCCGCUGAGGAUGUUGUCGGCCGCGCUCUCCAUCUCCUCUAUGGUCAUGUCGCAGGCGUCGGCCAGCUCCUGGGUGGUGACCUCGAUGAACUUGGGAUCUUGAGCAAACUGCCCCAGUCCUUCUGAAAUCAAGACCUGAAGGAGCGGGGUGGGAGCCAUGAAGAACCAAAGGAACAUUACUCCUGGAGCCCAGCUCUUCCCUUGAGGGCUAGAGCGAGGGGGUAUCUGAGAAACCAUUCUCCCUGGUGAAACUGCUGAGACAGGCCCACUGCCCAUUGCCUGCUGCUGCCUUUCCAGGGGUGAGGUAUCUGUGCAAACACGGCGCAUGCCCCUGCCUUGCUUCUGCUGGGAAGGGCCAGCAGGUGACCCUUAAGCUUCUCUGUCCUCCCUACCGGCUGCUUAGUGCCUGGCUAUGGGAAAAUCGGCUCCUGAGCCAGCGGGUCGGGGGAAGCUGAGUGCAGCCUGGCACUCGCUCCUUUCAGGCAUCUGUUUGUCUUGCUCCUUGCCCACGCCACUCAUUCUCUCCUUGCCCUGCUUAGUUUUUCUUUGGCACUCCUGACCUUCCUGAUGUGUUACGAGGAGGAGGACUGCAGACUGCCACCCGCCCCGCAGUGGAAGGAAAGAUGAGAGGGGUCGAGAGUGCGCCAUGGCACCACCCACCCUGAAGAUGUCAUCUUCAGAAGCAGCGGACACAGCCUCCUUCAUGGCCUUGUCCAGCUCCUCCUCAGCGGUGAGAUCUCCAGAGAUGGCCCGUCGGAUCUCAGGCCCGAUGUCAUGCAGUGUGCGCAAGCCAGCCUGGAAUCCAAGGGGAGGAUGGUGAGGACCACGCUCCCUUUCCUCCAAGCUCCCCAGCCAGCCACAGCCUCGGGCCAAGACCUGUCCCUCCAGGGCCCUGGCAUCCUCCACCCAGCCAGUCGACCCUCCGGAAGGUUUGUGUGUGUGUGAACUGGGGGCUGGGCUGCCCUCUGAUGGAACAAUCCACUCGCCCAUCCAGGAGGGAUGAAGGCUCAUUAGGACGGGGCACCAGGGGUCAGGGGCUGUCACGGGAGCCUCAGUGAAGUAUUUGAGAGAUCUGGGGGCUAUGACAGCAGGCAGAACCAUGGAGGGCAGUCGGUGGGUGGCAGGUAGGGAAGGGCACAUCACCCCCUUCUCACAGCCAUCUUUGGAAAGGUCUGGAGCUCUCUGAAAGGUUCCCUCUGCAGGGACCUGGCCUCCAGCCUGCUGGGGAGGGACCGGGACCCUGACUGGAGGUCAGAGGCAAUGACCAGGACCUUCCUGGAGUGUGGGCCCGCCCCCAGGCCCUCACCUGCAGAGACAGCGCGUUCCUCUGGGAGGGCUUGCCCACAAGGCCCUGCUCUUUGCGCUUCUUGAACUUCCGGAAGUACUCCUGGAUCAGGAACGUGGCGUAGAACUUGCCAACGGUGACCUCAUCAUCUGAGACGUAUGGAGAGGGGAGAGGGGGUAAGAGGGGAGCAGGGGAAUUCAGUUGAACUUCAUUCAUUUUUUUUUUCAGCAUCCAAAACUUUUUAAAACUUUAAUAUUUUUGGAGAGGUAAUACAUUCACAUGGCUUAAAAAGAGAGAAAAAAAACCAUAAAAAGGCUUAUGGUCAAAAGUCUCUCCCACCACAGCCCUUAUCUGCCUAGUCACCACCUCCUGUAGAUCAUCUAGUUUCUUGAGUAUUUUCUCAGAGAUUCUUAGUGCAAAUUAGUUAUGUAAAUCAUCAAACAUAUUAUCUCCUGUUUUUUUUAUGCAAAAGGUAGCCUACCAUCAAAAUUAUUUCCCGCUUUUUUUUUUUUAACUGAACUGAUACAUUUGAUUCCAGAGCUUCAAAUGUCCCUCAUCAACUGGCCACUCUUCCAAGUGCAAGUGCAAAACGGUUCAGCUUAGCUCGGAGGGAGGGGCUGGUGGAAGGAGGGCUUUCUUCCCAUGGAAGUUUGGAUUUUUCUUUCAAACCCGAUUGAGUUUUUGUGCCAGGUGGCUUGGCUGCAUCCCUGCUGGGCUGGAUACCCAAGAUUAUAUGUGACAUCAUCAGUCCCUUUCCUGGGAGUAAACCUGAUGGUGGAGAAGCCAUAAGUUCUUAGAGGAAACAUUUCAUGCCUGGGGAGGAGCCCCUUGGAUCUACCUCCUGGUUCUUUGUGAAGAGAUGCCACGGGCCCAAGAGACAGCUGGGGAUUAAAUCUAGGGGCUGGUGAGGGUUCUCCUCCUCCUACCUGUCCCUCCAAAAUAGCCACAUCCAUAGCAGUGAUGACCCCUCCCUUCUCUGGCAAGCACCCCCUUUCCACGUGGGAGGGAAAAACCCAGGGUCCCCUGUCCAGCAUAGUCAGGAAGGAAGAACUGCAUGGUGGGACAAGCCUGGAGUCCUACCUGGAGUCCUAGGUUCCCUGGGGCCUGGGUUUGAAUCCUGAAUCUGCUGUGGACUCUCCAGGUAACCUUGGGCCAGCAACUUAGCUUCUAAGAACUUUAGUUCCCUGAGCAAACUUCACAGAAAUGUUGUCAGGAUUCAAUAAAACGAUGUAUGUAAACAU
Molecule: long non-coding RNA, 2693 nt
Filed under: Homo sapiens (human)
Lineage: Eukaryota; Metazoa; Chordata; Mammalia; Primates; Hominidae
Description: long non-coding RNA NONHSAT163182.1
Source: RNAcentral